GCCAGACUCCUACGGGAGGCAGCAGUGGGGGAUAUUGCACAAUGGGGGGAACCCUGAUGCAGCGACGCCGCGUGGGUGAAGGAGUGCUUCGGCAUGUAAAGCCCUAUCGGCAGGGAAGAAGCAAGACGGUACCUGACUAAGAAGCCCCGGCUAACUACGUGCCAGCAGCCGCGGUAAUACGUAGGGGGCGAGCGUUAUCCGGAUUCACUGGGUGUAAAGGGAGCGUAGACGGCAAUGCAAGCCAGAUGUGAAAGCCCGGGGCUCAACCCCGGGACUGCAUUUGGAACUGUGUAGCUGGAGUGUCGGAGAGGCAGGCGGAAUUCCUAGUGUAGCGGUGAAAUGCGUAGAUAUUAGGAGGAACACCAGUGGCGAAGGCGGCCUGCUGGACGAUGACUGACGUUGAGGCUCGAAAGCGUGGGGAGCAAACAGGAUUAGAUACCCGUGUA
RNAcentral lists this ribosomal RNA (446 nucleotides) under uncultured bacterium. Its description in RNAcentral is "bacterial SSU rRNA". It matches the Rfam family "Bacterial small subunit ribosomal RNA", at positions 330 to 792 of the family's 1533-position model. The record is from RNAcentral.